Long non-coding RNA from Lathyrus oleraceus (garden pea), 1341 nucleotides. RefSeq lists it as uncharacterized. The transcript is spliced from 3 exons. The record is from RefSeq and is a predicted model, not a curated record. Lineage: Eukaryota; Viridiplantae; Streptophyta; Magnoliopsida; Fabales; Fabaceae.
GUGUGGUUUUGAAGAAAAAACAUGCUUGGUCCAUAUGCCCACUCUCCAAACACAUGAUUCGGGUCUCACAAAUCUUGGCCAUGUGCUGUAUCCGAAGACUCAUCGUAACAAAUAGGAUCUUCACUCUUUCUCCAUUAGAUGCGAAGCAUGUGUAUGACGCGGCCAAGGAACGCUGCAACAUCGUAUGAGCAACAUGGUCGACGCGAAUCCACGCUUAAAGGUUGUACGGUGAGGUUGGAUUGUGUAUUGGAGAUUGAAGGUUUUUUCUGGUGUUGGAGGUCGUUACAGUUGGCUUAAGAAGUUGGUUAUGGAGUUUUUUCAGGUUCGGUUAGCAUUCUUUUUGUGGUUCUUGUGAAGGUUUUUGGAGAUUGAAGCUAGAAGCACAAUUCUAUUGUGGAAGUUGAGGGUGAGAAUGAGAGUUAUGGAGGAUGAUGAAGGGUGAGGUUGAAGAAGAGGGUUCGUUCAUUGGGUUCUGUUAUAUAUUCUGUUGUAGUUUUUUUUCAGUUAUGCCUUUGCUGGUAUUACGCGCUAUUCCUCUUCUGUUAGCAUUCUGUUUCUAUUCCUUUUCCGUUAUCCUUCUCGACGGAAGCUCUCGGUUUGGUUGAAGGUUUGAGGGUUGUUAGUUGGAACGAUUGAAGCAGAGUUUUCAAGAAAGGUUAUUAGAGGAGGGUUCGUUUCCGGCAGGUUCUUUGAAGCAGUUGUGGAGGGAGAUUGAAGUUGGUUCUGCAGAGUUGUUACAGACAAUUAAAGGAGAGCUUGAGGAUGUUAUGUCAAAGAGGUUUUUGAAAAUUGGUUUCUUGAAAGUUCUCAUUCCGUUAUGGUGGUUCGUUAGUAGUUGAAGAUUAGGGAGCUGUUACUUGUUAGAAAAGGGUUCGGUUAUGGCAGUUGAGGAACAGUUAUUGAAAGCUCGGAAUUGGUUAAUUGUUGUUUGGACAUUGAACUGAGUUGUUGUCUCUACAGAUUAUGAAGCUCUUCAUUGGCUGCCUUGAAAUGCAUUGGCUGCCAUGGUGGAUGCUUUAAUUGAAUUCAAUGAAGUGAAUUUGCUAUUGGGUGAUGGAAUGCAAUAAAUUUAGAUUGGCUAUGGAAUACUUUGAUUGGAUUUUGCUUGGAAUUGCAUUGCUCAUGUUUUGGACCUUUGAUUUGAAUUGUAUUGGUAGGGUUUUUGUAUGUAUAGAAAUGGAUUAGAAAUUGGAUGUAAUGGUGUAUGUGAUAGGUAGUUAAAUUAAUGUAUGAUCAAUUAUAAUGCAUGGUCAUGUAUUAGAGUGAACUUGUAUGAAAGUGUUGAAUUAAAAUGUACUAAAAUGGUUGUGUAAUGAAAUGUUGUAAAUGGUCAAUUGGAAA